UGGAGCCAGAUAAUCAAUGAUGAAAAAAUACCUGAUACAUUCUCUACACUCAUGGCAAUGGAUCUACUGAGAGAAACAAACAAAAAACAGAUAAACCUAAUCUAAAAUCAUAUGCAGCAUGUGUAUCACCUUCCUAAGGCUGCUACAAGAAAUUCCUACAAACCUGCUAUGGUUUUAAAUAAUGUAAAUUCAUUCCCCUACAGUUCUGGAGCUAAGUUGGAAGUCAAGGUAUGAGCCA
This 238-nucleotide long non-coding RNA is filed under the name Marmota monax (woodchuck). Lineage: Eukaryota; Metazoa; Chordata; Mammalia; Rodentia; Sciuridae. The record is from RNAcentral.